This 69-nucleotide transfer RNA is filed under the name Gymnothorax hepaticus (liver-colored moray eel). Its description in RNAcentral is "tRNA-Ala". It matches the Rfam family "tRNA". From Rfam's summary of the family: Transfer RNA (tRNA) molecules are approximately 80 nucleotides in length. Their secondary structure includes four short double-helical elements and three loops (D, anti-codon, and T loops). The record is from RNAcentral. Lineage: Eukaryota; Metazoa; Chordata; Actinopteri; Anguilliformes; Muraenidae.
AAGGCCUUAGCUUAAUUAAAGCGUCUGAUUUGCACUCAGUUAAUGUGGGAUAGAGUCCCGCAGGCCUUA